GUCGACGCUGGUGGACGGCGGGGUUGGGUGCAGCAUCUGGAGUCGGGAGUAAUUAUCUGCACUAUUUUGAUAUCCAGAUUGUCUUAAAAUAAUUAACUAAGUGCCUGUGGGUGCCGCCGCCGCCGGUGACUCACGCCAUGUGAGGCGUGCGCGUCGGAGCGGGACGCCACCGACUGUAC
This is a long non-coding RNA of Pollicipes pollicipes, 179 nucleotides long. RefSeq lists it as uncharacterized. NCBI's taxonomy places the organism in Eukaryota, Metazoa, Arthropoda, Thecostraca, Pollicipedomorpha, Pollicipedidae. The record is from RefSeq and is a predicted model, not a curated record. The transcript has 3 exons.